AGUCGUACGCUUCUUUUUCCACCGGAGCUUGCUCCACCGGAAAAAGAAGAGUGGCGAACGGGUGAGUAACACGUGGGUAACCUGCCCAUCAGAAGGGGAUAACACUUGGAAACAGGUGCUAAUACCGUAUAACAAUCGAAACCGCAUGGUUUUGAUUUGAAAGGCGCUUUCGGGUGUCGCUGAUGGAUGGACCCGCGGUGCAUUAGCUAGUUGGUGAGGUAACGGCUCACCAAGGCCACGAUGCAUAGCCGACCUGAGAGGGUGAUCGGCCACAUUGGGACUGAGACACGGCCCAAACUCCUACGGGAGGCAGCAGUAGGGAAUCUUCGGCAAUGGACGAAAGUCUGACCGAGCAACGCCGCGUGAGUGAAGAAGGUUUUCGGAUCGUAAAACUCUGUUGUUAGAGAAGAACAAGGAUGAGAGUAACUGUUCAUCCCUUGACGGUAUCUAACCAGAAAGCCACGGCUAACUACGUGCCAGCAGCCGCGGUAAUACGUAGGUGGCAAGCGUUGUCCGGAUUUAUUGGGCGUAAAGCGAGCGCAGGCGGUUUCUUAAGUCUGAUGUGAAAGCCCCCGGCUCAACCGGGGAGGGUCAUUGGAAACUGGGAGACUUGAGUGCAGAAGAGGAGAGUGGAAUUCCAUGUGUAGCGGUGAAAUGCGUAGAUAUAUGGAGGAACACCAGUGGCGAAGGCGGCUCUCUGGUCUGUAACUGACGCUGAGGCUCGAAAGCGUGGGGAGCAAACAGGAUUAGAUACCCUGGUAGUCCACGCCGUAAACGAUGAGUGCUAAGUGUUGGAGGGUUUCCGCCCUUCAGUGCUGCAGCUAACGCAUUAAGCACUCCGCCUGGGGGAGUACGACCGCAAGGUUGAAACUCAAAGGAAUUGACGGGGGCCCGCACAAGCGGUGGAGCAUGUGGUUUAAUUCGAAGCAACGCGAAGAACCUUACCAGGUCUUGACAUCCUUUGACCACUCUAGA
RNAcentral lists this ribosomal RNA (975 nucleotides) under Enterococcus durans. RNAcentral describes it as "bacterial SSU rRNA". It matches the Rfam family "Bacterial small subunit ribosomal RNA", at positions 60 to 1004 of the family's 1533-position model. The record is from RNAcentral. Lineage: Bacteria; Bacillati; Bacillota; Bacilli; Lactobacillales; Enterococcaceae.